UGGAACAUGUCCUAUCAGAUUUUGACAAGUU
RNAcentral lists this non-coding RNA (31 nucleotides) under Rattus norvegicus (Norway rat). Lineage: Eukaryota; Metazoa; Chordata; Mammalia; Rodentia; Muridae. The record is from RNAcentral.